Nicotiana tabacum (common tobacco) is the source of this 284-nucleotide non-coding RNA. Lineage: Eukaryota; Viridiplantae; Streptophyta; Magnoliopsida; Solanales; Solanaceae. The record is from RefSeq and is a predicted model, not a curated record.
GGCAAAGGCAUCGCGGAGUAGGAUUAUUCUGGGAUUGAGAUCCAGGUGAGACCGGUCACAAGUUUCGUUGAGCUCGUGCGUGGUUGACUGCUCGGAGAUCUACGAGGUAGCUACCAGCGUCCGCAGACCUUGGCUCUCCUUCCAUUGUUGUCUUUCUUUCUGUUUUUAUGGCAUUUGGCGGAUUAUUGUAAUCUUUGAUUCUACAGCGAUUGUAGAUGCUCAUGACUUAGUGACACUCUGAUGUCGGGCUAUCUUUUCCGCAUUAUAUUAUUAGUUUAACUCUU